AGAGCGGACCCGGGCGGGGGUCCCGGGGGUCCCGGGGGUGGCGGUGUCGGUCCCGGAGCACAGAGCGGACCCGGGCCGUGCCCGCGCUCCCCGCACCAGCGCUCCCAGUUCGGGCCCGGCGGGCACUGGGAGCUGGCGCGGGGCUCCCUCUGGCGGCCGCAGCCAGCGCUGCCAGCGGCUCCGGCACGCGGUGCCCCGGGAGACAAAUUCUCAGGUACUGAGGUGUCCAGGUAACCAAAUUCUCAGGUGCCCAGGUAGCCAAAUUCUAAGAUGCCCAGGUAGCCAAAUUCUCAGGUACUGAGAUGCCCAGGUAGCCAAAUUUUCAGGUGCCUGGGUGCCCAGUUUCCCAGAUACUGGGGUGCCCACGUAGCCAAAUUCUCAGGUGCCCAGAUAGCCA
Molecule: long non-coding RNA, 397 nt
Organism: Passer domesticus (house sparrow)
Lineage: Eukaryota; Metazoa; Chordata; Aves; Passeriformes; Passeridae
Exons: 3
Source: RefSeq, a predicted model, not a curated record